AUGGUGUGGUAUGUAUUGAACAAUUGUGGUCAAGCUCAGAAAUAUAUCGAAAUGCUCAGAGAUGAGUUAAAAAGAAAACAGGUGCCAAACAUUGAUAAAGAGCUUCAGAAAGAAUUCCAGACAUGGUUCAAGAACUAUAUCAUGAGGCUGCAGGAUGAACAUAGCGAAGAAAUAGAUGAAGAUAUCUUUUCCUUGGCAUGUGAACCUGAUCAGAGAGUCAGAAAAUACUCAGCAUGCAUAGUGAAUGGUAUUAGAUAUAGCACUGUUGACCGUGAUAGCAACAAGAGAACACAGAACAGUGGAGUCAUGGCCGAAGGUGAACAUGGCAGUAAGGUCAUAGAUUUUUAUGGAACCUUGAAAGAGAUCAUCCAGUUGGACUAUAACUCCAAUGAUAACUCGGACGGCAGGUCAGUUAUUUUGUUUAAAUGUGACUGUUUAAACUUGAUGGAAAGAAGAAGGAGCUAA
RNAcentral lists this ribosomal RNA (465 nucleotides) under Triticum aestivum (bread wheat). RNAcentral describes it as "partial small subunit ribosomal RNA". The record is from RNAcentral. Lineage: Eukaryota; Viridiplantae; Streptophyta; Magnoliopsida; Poales; Poaceae.